Long non-coding RNA from Cynoglossus semilaevis (tongue sole), 1195 nucleotides. RefSeq lists it as uncharacterized. The record is from RefSeq and is a predicted model, not a curated record. The transcript is spliced from 5 exons. Lineage: Eukaryota; Metazoa; Chordata; Actinopteri; Pleuronectiformes; Cynoglossidae.
GAGGGGCCAGAGGGGGUCAGGCUGGUCCUCCUCCCCUUAUCAGGAGACACCAUGCUGGCUGCAACGUCAGAAGAGAAAGUGAAUCAAUUAACUGAGGUCACUGCACACAUGAAUUAGACCUAAAGGACAUCAAGAGAGACUCACACAGAAGGCAUCCGAGAGUGGAGUCAGAGGAGUCACUGGGAUACCACUGGGGGUCGUGGCUGGGUGAUGGGAUCCAUCCUCGGGACGGGCUGACGGAGGGGGACGAGGCCAACAGUUUGGUGCUGUCAUUGUUGCUCAGUUUGGCUGGAGACAGAGCUGCUUCCUCACCUGCAGCAGGUUCUCCAGGGGUCAGCGGCUCCUCAGGGGGACCAGGUAAAGAGAUGUCCAGGAGUGAGGCUACACUAGGUGGAGACAGGAGUGAGUCUCCACCUCCUGAUGCUCCAGGAGACGGUGGAGGCAAACCAUUCUGUAGAGAAAACAGCAACAAGUUACAACUCCACAAUGUCUGCGUUCCUGACCUGCGGGACAUUUUGCUGGAGUAGUGUAGAGUCUGGUUCGACAUCAGGAGAAGGUGAGGUGUUGAGUGGAUCGCUGUUUUCCGUAGUAGAAGGAUCAAGACUUGGACAGGGGCUGCCAGGAAUGAUGCCGGCAGACUUGGCUGCCAGGUCAAUGGCACCUGAGAGAAAGACAAACAAUUUAAAAUGUCCCCAAGACCCGUGAAGACGACAGAAAUGGAGAAGUAAACAAUGUGAUUUAAUUAAUUUGGGCUAUUUUUAAGACAUCAUUUGAAAGAUAUCAAUUAACCUGAAAAACAGUAAUUAUAAAUUAUAAAGUAUUAUAAAUUACUAAAGAAUUAUUGAAACAUACUGGAGAGCUGGCUGGCUGCUGCAGACCCGGUUGCUGCAGUGGAAACUUUGGACAUGAGGGGACGGGCAGAAGGAGGCAGUCGAGUGUGGAUCGGUCGGAAUGAUCCAGUUCCUAAAGAAAGAAAUGGGAAUUGACAGAUGUACCUGUGACAGAGGAGUUGGAGAGGAUGGAGAAGGAGCAGACGUGGGAUGUGUCUCCUGUAGUUCGGGGCAGUAGAGUCCGCUGUGUAGAAGAAGGAAGACCUUUAUUUUAAACCACAUACACCGUAACAUGUAGGAGGAUGUGGGCAGAGUAAAGAAGUAAAAAUAAAUAAAUAAAGGAACAUAUAUUUGCUUAAAACCAA